GCACGAAUGGUGAAAUUGGCAGACACGCUAGAUUUAGGCUCUAGUACUUUCGGGUAUGAGGGUUCAAGUCCCUCUUCGUGCA
RNAcentral lists this transfer RNA (82 nucleotides) under Mycoplasmopsis bovirhinis. Its description in RNAcentral is "Mycoplasma bovirhinis tRNA-Leu". It matches the Rfam family "tRNA". Rfam says of the family: Transfer RNA (tRNA) molecules are approximately 80 nucleotides in length. Their secondary structure includes four short double-helical elements and three loops (D, anti-codon, and T loops). Lineage: Bacteria; Bacillati; Mycoplasmatota; Mycoplasmoidales; Metamycoplasmataceae. The record is from RNAcentral.